This 1368-nucleotide long non-coding RNA is filed under the name Equus caballus (horse). RNAcentral describes it as "lncRNA (ENSECAG00000053623.1)". The record is from RNAcentral. Lineage: Eukaryota; Metazoa; Chordata; Mammalia; Perissodactyla; Equidae.
GCCAGACUCAGUUACCGGAUUCACCUCUGUCUCCCCAGCCAUCGGCAAAGUACCUGGUCCUGCCUGGUACUCAGCAAGUAUUUGUUGACCCAACUGAACUUCCCUGGGGCCAGCUCUGGCAGGAAACCAAGGACCCAGCCUGAUAAGGAGAUAGAGGCUCAGAGAGGUGACUUGAGUUGUCCAAGGUCAUACUGCAAGCAAAUGGCAGAGCUGGGCUUUGAAUCAGGCACUUCGGCUCUGAAGGUUUCUCUUCCACUACCACCUGGCUUGGUAUAGAGGCCUGGCUUAGAAGAAGCUGACUCAUGUGAGUCAGACAGCACUCUGAACUGGGCCCCCACUUUGUGCAGAACUCUAGCUGAGGCUUCUCAGGGGCAAGAAGAACACAACUCCCUCGGCCCCAGCCCCAGGGAACCUGCUGCCGUGGCUCAGGAAACAGACACAAGGCCAGCCUCUCUCCAUGUGGCCACUCCAGCAGAGAAGCUUGACUUCUUACCUGGAAUCUCAGGGCUCCGAAGGAGCUGCAAGGCCUUAACAAUGAGGCUGGAAAGAAAGAAUACCAGUCCCUGUCUCAUGGGGCAGUUCAGAGGAUGCAGAGACAGAACGUAUGCGCAGCACACAUCCCAGGGCCUCGCUACUGUUGCCAUCAGCUCGCUCUGCUGCUGCCGUGUCUAAAACACCAGUUUCAGCCUCCCUACCUAAACAAGUGAUGAAGCCCUGAUGCUCUGUGCCAGGCUUGGACGGCUGACUCCCUCGUGAGCUGGGACUGCACCUCAGCAGGAGAGAACGGAGGCUGACCCCUCUGUGACCUUCAGCCCACUCCUCCCUCCCUCCCCCAGCCCCGAGAGGAGAGGAGAGGCCAGCUGGAGACCUGUCACAAGGUGUCCUGCUGCUGAGCUACCCAUGGCCCCUCCCUCUCCUCAGUGCCUCCCGCCUGGAUCGCCUGGCCCAGACCCCAGGCAGUCUCAGAGAUGACAGCAGGAGGCUGUGGGACUCCGGCAGCCUGGGCUUCGGUGCCUCACAGCCCCCAUGUUACAGAGAAGGAGGGUCUGACACCUCCCCAUUUCUGGCUGGGCGCUGCUCUUUCCUCUCUUGGGAGGUCUGGCAAGGGGGCUAUUGAUGAGAGUGGGGCCCAUGCUCCUUUCCAAAAUCUGGACUAUGGCUUGGUGUUAAGUUCACACCAUUUGUCACAGGGCCCUGAGAUAAAUUUAGGGAGCGUCAGCCUCAGAGGAUGGGGUGGGCUCAUCUAGUCAGCCAACCAUUUUCAUUGCCCAUUCUUUUCUUCAUUCCACAAAGAUUUCCUGAGCACCUACUGUGCACCAGGCUCUAUUCUAGACACUGAGGAUCCAGAGAGAGCAGGACUGAUAAAAG